RNAcentral lists this long non-coding RNA (218 nucleotides) under Parus major (Great Tit). RNAcentral's name for it is "lncRNA (ENSPMJG00000018606.1)". Lineage: Eukaryota; Metazoa; Chordata; Aves; Passeriformes; Paridae. The record is from RNAcentral.
AGAAAGGAAGAAGGGCAGUGCUAUUUCAUGGUCAGGUAGUUUAUCCUGAGGAAUGUGUCCAAAAGAGGAAUGUGUGGGAGAGGGACUGGCUAACAAGAACACAGAGUACCUGUGGUGCCUUUUGAUUUACAAGCUUCCAGAAUAAUUUCAGUGAAAAUGCACACCAAUCUUCCAAGGAAAUAGAGAACAUGAAAAGAGAGAUUGCAUUUUUAUUUGGG